This 356-nucleotide ribosomal RNA is filed under the name uncultured bacterium. Its description in RNAcentral is "bacterial SSU rRNA". It matches the Rfam family "Bacterial small subunit ribosomal RNA", at positions 917 to 1266 of the family's 1533-position model. The record is from RNAcentral.
GGGCCCGCACAAGCGGUGGAGCAUGUGGUUUAAUUCGACGCAACGCGCAGAACCUUACCCGGCCUUGACAUCCUUGGAAUCCUUCCGAAAAGAAGGAGUGUCCCCUCACGGGGAAGCCAAGUGACAGGUGCUGCAUGGCUGUCGUCAGCUCGUGUCGUGAGAUGUUCGGUUAAGUCCGGCAACGAGCGCAACCCCUGUCGUUAGUUGCCCAUCAAUUCGGUUGGGCACUUUAACGAGACUCCCGGUGUUAAGCCGGCGGAAGAUGGGGAUGACGUCAAGUCCUCAUGGCCCUUAUGGUCGGGGCUACACACGUACUACAAUGGCGACUACAGAGGGUAGCAAGACCGCAAGGUGAG